RNAcentral lists this ribosomal RNA (1229 nucleotides) under Chryseobacterium jejuense. RNAcentral describes it as "bacterial SSU rRNA". It matches the Rfam family "Bacterial small subunit ribosomal RNA", at positions 112 to 1346 of the family's 1533-position model. Lineage: Bacteria; Pseudomonadati; Bacteroidota; Flavobacteriia; Flavobacteriales; Weeksellaceae. The record is from RNAcentral.
AACACGUGUGCAACCUGCCUUUAUCUGGGGGAUAGCCUUUCGAAAGGAAGAUUAAUACCCCAUAAUAUAUUGAGUGGCAUCACUUGAUAUUGAAAACUCCGGUGGAUAGAGAUGGGCACGCGCAAGAUUAGAUAGUUGGUGAGGUAACGGCUCACCAAGUCAGCGAUCUUUAGGGGGCCUGAGAGGGUGAUCCCCCACACUGGUACUGAGACACGGACCAGACUCCUACGGGAGGCAGCAGUGAGGAAUAUUGGACAAUGGGUGAGAGCCUGAUCCAGCCAUCCCGCGUGAAGGACGACGGCCCUAUGGGUUGUAAACUUCUUUUGUAUAGGGAUAAACCUAGAUACGUGUAUCUAGCUGAAGGUACUAUACGAAUAAGCACCGGCUAACUCCGUGCCAGCAGCCGCGGUAAUACGGAGGGUGCAAGCGUUAUCCGGAUUUAUUGGGUUUAAAGGGUCCGUAGGCGGAUUUGGUACGUCAGUGGAUGAAAUCUCACAGCUUCAACUGUGAAACUGCCAUUGAUACUGCAAGUCUUGAGUGUUGUUGAAGUAGCUGGAAUAAGUAGUGUAGCGGUGAAAUGCAUAGAUAUUACUUAGAACACCAAUUGCGAAGGCAGGUUACUAAGCAACAACUGACGCUGAUGGACGAAAGCGUGGGGAGCGAACAGGAUUAGAUACCCUGGUAGUCCACGCCGUAAACGAUGCUAACUCGUUUUUGGGUUUUCGGAUUCAGAGACUAAGCGAAAGUGAUAAGUUAGCCACCUGGGGAGUACGAACGCAAGUUUGAAACUCAAAGGAAUUGACGGGGGCCCGCACAAGCGGUGGAUUAUGUGGUUUAAUUCGAUGAUACGCGAGGAACCUUACCAAGGCUUAAAUGGGAAAUGACAGGUUUAGAAAUAGACUUUUCUUCGGACAUUUUUCAAGGUGCUGCAUGGUUGUCGUCAGCUCGUGCCGUGAGGUGUUAGGUUAAGUCCUGCAACGAGCGCAACCCCUGUCACUAGUUGCCAUCAUUAAGUUGGGGACUCUAGUGAGACUGCCUACGCAAGUAGAGAGGAAGGUGGGGAUGACGUCAAAUCAUCACGGCCCUUACGCCUUGGGCCACACACGUAAUACAAUGGCCGGUACAGAGGGCAGCUACACAGUGAUGUGAUGCAAAUCUCGAAAGCCGGUCUCAGUUCGGAUUGGAGUCUGCAACUCGACUCUAUGAAGCUGGAAUCGCUAGUAAUCGCG